AUUGAACGCUGGCGGCAGGCCUAACACAUGCAAGUCGAGCGGUAGAGAGAAGCUUGCUUCUCUUGAGAGCGGCGGACGGGUGAGUAAUACCUGGGAAUCUGCCUGAUAGUGGGGGAUAACGUUCGGAAACGGACGCUAAUACCGCAUACGUCCUACGGGAGAAAGCAGGGGAUCUUCGGACCUUGCGCUAUCAGAUGAGCCCAGGUCGGAUUAGCUUGUUGGUGAGGUAAAGGCUCACCAAGGCGACGAUCCGUAACUGGUCUGAGAGGAUGAUCAGUCACACUGGAACUGAGACACGGUCCAGACUCCUACGGGAGGCAGCAGUGGGGAAUAUUGGACAAUGGGCGCAAGCCUGAUCCAGCCAUGCCGCGUGUGUGAAGAAGGCUUUCGGGUUGUAAAGCACUUUCAGUGAGGAGGAAAACCUUAUGACUAAUACUCGUGAGGCUUGACGUUACUCACAGAAGAAGCACCGGCUAACUCCGUG
Molecule: ribosomal RNA, 484 nt
Filed under: uncultured bacterium
Lineage: Bacteria
Description: bacterial SSU rRNA
Rfam family: Bacterial small subunit ribosomal RNA
Source: RNAcentral